UACGUAGGGAGCGAGCGUUGUCCGGAAUCAUUGGGCGUAAAGAGCUCGUAGGCGGUUUGGUAAGUCGGAUGUUAAAUCUCCAGGCUCAACCUGGAGCGGCCAUUCGAUACUGCCCUGACUAGAGUCCGGUAGGGGCCCACGGAACUCCUGGUGUAGCGGUGAAAUGCGCAGAUAUCAGGAAGAACACCGAUGGCGAAGGCAGUGGGCUGGGCCGGCACUGACGCUGAGGAGCGAAAGCGUGGGGAGCGAACAGG
Molecule: ribosomal RNA, 254 nt
Filed under: uncultured bacterium
Lineage: Bacteria
Description: partial 16S ribosomal RNA
Rfam family: Bacterial small subunit ribosomal RNA
Source: RNAcentral